This is a long non-coding RNA of Podarcis raffonei (Aeolian wall lizard), 1175 nucleotides long. RefSeq lists it as uncharacterized. Lineage: Eukaryota; Metazoa; Chordata; Lepidosauria; Squamata; Lacertidae. The record is from RefSeq and is a predicted model, not a curated record. The transcript is spliced from 3 exons.
GUUUAAACGCGGCGGCGUCCUCCUCCUCCGCGCUCGGAACUCCCCCCUCCCAUCUUCUCCGCCGUUGCCCAGCAACGCCGGGCCUGUAAGGCUUGUUUGGAGCCCAGCUGGAGUUCAUCAGAGGGAGGGCCGCGCCUUCUUCUUAGGCUUUUCUUAAUUUAUCUAUUUAUAUGUCCAUCUAUCUAGGUGUGUUAUGCUUUUGCCUGCAGUCGUAUAGGCUCUCCUCACUGUGGGAGUGAGGCCCACAGUGGGGCUUUACUUUACAUGACAGGGUGCCAGCUUUCCUUGAGCUGUGUGUCAGUUCAUUCCGACGUACCGUGCGCCCGUAUGCAUGCUUACUCACGUGUAAGGCCCACAAUGGGAUUUACGCCCGAAGCAAGGGGAAGGAAUACAGUCCUAUCCCGCUGGACAAGAGAAGAAAGAGAUAUUGUCUAAAACAUCACACAUCCUUAUCAGCCUAUUGCAUGUGUGAAGAAUGAGAAGGAGGGCUAUGAUGGUACUCCAGAACGUCUUCUCAAAGACCCUCCUGGGGCAUAGAAAGGACUCACUGAUUCUAUUGUGGCUGUGCAACAGUCUCCAGCAGCUAUACAGAUUGCAAGGGAGGAGAGUCUGACACAAAGCUAUACAUUUUAAAAUGUAUCUAAGCCAAAGAGUUUAAAGCUGAACUGCAAACCAUGGUUUUCACAAACUACUGACACCAAUUAUGACCAAGCAGCUGCUGCAGCAUGGAGACUGGAGUGAGACCAAUGAAGCUGAAUUCUGAGCAGAAAGAAGGAAGGAAAGCCACUCUAUACAGUUACACCUUGGUUCUUGAACGCCUUGAUACUCAUACUUUUUGGCUCCCGAACGCUGAAAACCCAGAAGUGUUCUGGUUUUCAAACUUUUUUCAGAAGCCAAAUAUCCGACACGGCUUCCACUUGAAUGCAGGAAGCUCCUGCAGCCAAUCGGAAGCCGCACCUUGGUUUUUUAACGUUUUGGAUGUUGAACGGACUUCCGGAACGGAUUACGUUUGAGAACGAAGGUAGAACUGUACCGUUGUUUUUAUUGUUGCACAUCUGGAAGUUCCAAUAAUGGCAUGGACUUUUAACUAGCUAGCAUAAACCAUGGCUUUGCCUUUACAUUUUUUUAAAAAGCCAAUGAAAACUGAAUUCUGUAAUAAAUUGUGCAAAUAACCA